UGCAAGUCGAACGAAGUAGCAAUACUUAGUGGCAGACGGGUGAGUAACAUGUAGGUAUCUGCCCUUUGGCCUGGAAUAACACGAGGAAACUUGUGCUAAUACCGGAUAAGUCUUUACAGAGAAAGCUUUAUGCACCAUUGGAUGAGCCUGCACUUGAUUAGUUUGUUGGUGGGGUAAUGGCCUACCAAGACUGUGAUCAAUAGCUGAUUUGAGAGGAUGAUCAGCCACAUUGGGACUGAGACACGGCCCAAACUCCUACGGGAGGCAGCAGUGGGGAAUCUUGCACAAUGGAGGAAACUCUGA
RNAcentral lists this ribosomal RNA (303 nucleotides) under uncultured bacterium. Its description in RNAcentral is "bacterial SSU rRNA". It matches the Rfam family "Bacterial small subunit ribosomal RNA", at positions 56 to 386 of the family's 1533-position model. The record is from RNAcentral.